UAAGGAUGAUCUUCAGCGAGCUCACGCUCACUAUCGGAUCGUUUUAGAAACAUCAGUGGCCAACAGAUCGCCAGAUCGUUGAUCUGCAUUGGCGGGAUUUCGCCGUCUUCGUUUCUCUUUCUUCGCGGACGAACACGCGCUGGGCCUGCAACGGCAGGAUCCAGGGUCCUUAACGGGAUGUGCGUUAGGGGCUUGUAGCUCAGUUGGUUAGAGCGCGCGCUUGAUAAGCGUGAGGUCGGAAGUUCAAGUCUUCCCAGGCCCACCACUUUCAUCGAGUGAGCAUUCGUCUUCUGGUUACGGGGCCAUAGCUCAGCUGGGAGAGCGCGUGCUUUGCAAGCAUGAGGUCGUCGGUUCGAUCCCGUCUGGCUCCACCAGAUGGUUUGAUCACCGAGAUCUUGACCGUCGUCCGCGAAACAUCACUUCGCAUCCUGCUAGUCUGGAUAGACAGCAGUUUGCGUGUUUUCUGACAUCGUAAAGAGGAGAUCGAUCCGAGUUGGGUCGUGCAGCAUAUCGUUGCGCGAGCCUUCAUUAUCUCCGGAUCAUUUCGGCGCUCGCUUCCAGCCGUGAGGUUGGAUGCGGGUUGUAAAUGAUCCUUUUAGCGAAGCUUGACCGCCUCGCUAUCGGAACGAUCUUACGAAGCAAGCUGGUCUUUCUAGUCAAUGUCCGGCUGCGGAUAGCGUUCAUCGAGGGCGCGUGCCGCAAGGCAAUUCUGCAGACAACAUUCUGCCGAGUGUGUGGACAUUGAUAAUGAGAGCAAUCAAGUGCCUUAAGGGUGUUCGGUGGAUGCCUUGGCGCUGAGAGGCGAUGAAGGACGUGCUACGCUGCGAUAAGCCGUGGGGAGCUGCGAAGAAGCUUUGAUCCGCGGA
Molecule: unclassified non-coding RNA, 866 nt
Filed under: Bradyrhizobium sp. ORS 3646
Lineage: Bacteria; Pseudomonadati; Pseudomonadota; Alphaproteobacteria; Hyphomicrobiales; Nitrobacteraceae
Description: partial 16S-23S ribosomal RNA intergenic spacer
Rfam family: Bacterial large subunit ribosomal RNA (bases 756-866)
Source: RNAcentral